AUUGAACGCUGGCGGCAGGCCUAACACAUGCAAGUCGAACGGUAACAGGAAACAGCUUGCUGUUUCGCUGACGAGUGGCGGACGGGUGAGUAAUGUCUGGGAAACUGCCUGAUGGAGGGGGAUAACUACUGGAAACGGUAGCUAAUACCGCAUAACGUCGCAAGACCAAAGAGGGGGACCCUCGGGCCUCUUGCCCUCGGAUGUGCCCAGAUGGGAUUAGCUUGUUGGUGGGGUAACGGCUCACCAAGGCGACGAUCCCUAGCUGGUCUGAGAGGAUGACCAGCCACACUGGAACUGAGACACGGUCCAGACUCCUACGGGAGGCAGCAGUGGGGAAUAUUGCACAAUGGGCGCAAGCCUGAUGCAGCCAUGCCGCGUGUAUGAAGAAGGCCUUCGGGUUGUAAAGUACUUUCAGCGGGGAGGAAGGGAGUAAAGUUAAUACCUUUGCUCAUUGACGUUACCCGCAGAAGAAGCACCGGCUAACUCCGUG
RNAcentral lists this ribosomal RNA (490 nucleotides) under uncultured bacterium. RNAcentral describes it as "partial 16S ribosomal RNA". It matches the Rfam family "Bacterial small subunit ribosomal RNA", at positions 30 to 507 of the family's 1533-position model. The record is from RNAcentral.